AGAUUGAACGCUGGCGGCAUGCCUUACACAUGCAAGUCGAACGGUAGAGUAGCAAUACUCGAGAGUGGCGAACGGGUGAGUAAUAUAUCGGAACGUGCCCAAUCGUGGGGGAUAACGUAGAGAAAUUUACGCUAAUACCGCAUACGAUCUAAGGAUGAAAGCGGGGGAUUCGCAAGGACCUCGCGCGAUUGGAGCGGCUGAUAUCAGAUUAGGUUGUUGGUGAGGUAAAAGCUCACCAAGCCGACGAUCUGUAGCUGGUUUGAGAGAACGACCAGCCACACUGGGACUGAGAC
This 293-nucleotide ribosomal RNA is filed under the name uncultured soil bacterium. Its description in RNAcentral is "partial 16S ribosomal RNA". It matches the Rfam family "Bacterial small subunit ribosomal RNA", at positions 26 to 325 of the family's 1533-position model. The record is from RNAcentral.